This 332-nucleotide unclassified non-coding RNA is filed under the name soil metagenome. RNAcentral describes it as "partial contains 5.8S ribosomal RNA, internal transcribed spacer 2, and large subunit ribosomal RNA". The stretch from base 1 to 120 matches the Rfam family "5.8S ribosomal RNA", at positions 35 to 154 of the family's 154-position model. The record is from RNAcentral.
GAUGAAGAACGCAGUGAAAUGCGAUAAGUAAUGUGAAUUGCAGAAUUCAGUGAAUCAUCGAAUCUUUGAACGCACAUUGCGCCCGCCAGUAUUCUGGCGGGCAUGCCUGUUCGAGCGUCAUUUCAACCAUCAAGCUCUGCUUGCGUUGGGGAUCCGCGGCUGCCCGCGGUCCCUCAAAACCAGUGGCGGGCUCGCUAGUCACACCGAGCGUGUAACUUUACAUCGCUAUGGUCGUGCGGCGGGUGCUUGCCGUAAAACCCCCCAAUUUUUAAGGUUGACCUCGGAUCAGGUAGGAAUACCCGCUGAACUUAAGCAUAUCAAUAAGCGGAGGA